This 253-nucleotide ribosomal RNA is filed under the name uncultured bacterium. RNAcentral describes it as "partial 16S ribosomal RNA". It matches the Rfam family "Bacterial small subunit ribosomal RNA", at positions 524 to 776 of the family's 1533-position model. The record is from RNAcentral.
UACGAAGGGUGCAAACGUUGCUCGGAAUUAUUGGGCGUAAAGCGCACGUAGGCGGCAUUGCAAGUCGGAUGUGAAAUCCCUCGGCUUAACCAAGGAAGUGCAUCCGAAACUGCAGUGCUUGAGUACUUAAGAGGAUCGCGGAAUUCCCGGUGUAGAGGUGAAAUUCGUAGAUAUUCGCAAGAACACCAGUGGCGAAGGCGGCUCACUGGCCCGGUACUGACGCUGAGGUGCGAAAGCGUGGGGAGCAAACAGG